This 69-nucleotide ribozyme is filed under the name Homo sapiens (human). RNAcentral describes it as "RNA CPEB3 ribozyme from Homo sapiens (PDB 7QR4, chain B)". It matches the Rfam family "Mammalian CPEB3 ribozyme", at positions 12 to 78 of the family's 78-position model. Rfam says of the family: The mammalian CPEB3 ribozyme is a self cleaving RNA located in the second intron of the CPEB3 gene which belongs to a family of genes regulating messenger RNA polyadenylation. This ribozyme is highly conserved and found only in mammals. There is currently only one other known self cleaving ribozyme in mammals, the CoTC motif. Lineage: Eukaryota; Metazoa; Chordata; Mammalia; Primates; Hominidae. The record is from Rfam by way of RNAcentral.
GGGGGCCACAGCAGAAGCGUUCACGUCGCAGCCCCUGUCAGCCAUUGCACUCCGGCUGCGAAUUCUGCU